UUGCCAUCAUUAAGUUGGGCACUCUAAGGUGACUGCCGGUGACAAACCGGAGGAAGGUGGGGAUGACGUCAAAUCAUCAUGCCCCUUAUGACCUGGGCUACACACGUGCUACAAUGGACGGUACAAAGAGCUGCAAGACCGCGAGGUGGAGCUAAUCUCAUAAAACCGUUCUCAGUUCGGAUUGUAGGCUGCAACUCGCCUACAUGAAGCUGGAAUCGCUAGUAAUCGCGGAUCAGCAUGCCGCGGUGAAUACGUUCCCGGGCCUUGUACACACCGCCCGUCACACCACGAGAGUUUGUAACACCCGAAGUCGGUGGGGUAACCUUUUUGGAGCCAGCCGCCUAAGG
RNAcentral lists this ribosomal RNA (347 nucleotides) under Bacillus thuringiensis. Its description in RNAcentral is "bacterial SSU rRNA". It matches the Rfam family "Bacterial small subunit ribosomal RNA", at positions 1115 to 1462 of the family's 1533-position model. The record is from RNAcentral. Lineage: Bacteria; Bacillati; Bacillota; Bacilli; Caryophanales; Bacillaceae.